GACGAACGCUGGCGGCGUGCCUAAUACAUGCAAGUAGAACGCUGAAGAGAGGAGCUUACUCUUCUUGGAUGAGUUGCGAACGGGUGAGUAACGCGUAGGUAACCUGCCUUGUAGCGGGGGAUAACUAUUGGAAACGAUAGCUAAUACCGCAUAACAAUGGAUGACACAUGUCAUUUAUUUGAAAGGGGCAAUGCCCCACUUACAGAAGGAACCUGCGUUGUAUUAGCUAGUAGGUGAGGUAAUGGCUCACCUAGGCGACGAUACAUAGCCGACCUGAGAGGGUGAUCGGCCACACUGGGACUGAGACACGGCCCAGACUCCUACGGGAGGCAGCAGUAGGGAAUCUUCGGCAAUGGGGGCAACCCUGACCGAGCAACGCCGCGUGAGUGAAGAAGGUUUUCGGAUCGUAAAGCUCUGUUGUAAGUCAAGAACGGGUGUGAGAGUGGAAAGUUCACACUGUGACGGUAGCUUACCAGAAAGGGACGGCUAACUACGUG
Molecule: ribosomal RNA, 497 nt
Filed under: uncultured bacterium
Lineage: Bacteria
Description: partial 16S ribosomal RNA
Rfam family: Bacterial small subunit ribosomal RNA
Source: RNAcentral